Long non-coding RNA from Pseudoliparis swirei, 1136 nucleotides. RefSeq lists it as uncharacterized. Lineage: Eukaryota; Metazoa; Chordata; Actinopteri; Perciformes; Liparidae. The record is from RefSeq and is a predicted model, not a curated record. The transcript has 2 exons.
UGGAGACUACGAUGGAGCUCCUGGCCUCCCUACGGCCGUCAGGUUAGUCGAGGAAGAUAACAUUGCGGACAUUAGGCUUCAUAAUGCGCGUGUGUCUUUGUUGCGUGUCUUUGCCCUUUUAACACCAGACGAGCUCCGGCGCCGACUCCGACACCCAGACAUCCGCCGCCGGUUCCGCCAGCUCCGCGCCAUCCGCCGACUCCGCCAGGGACUGGCCCGCAGGUAAGUUAUCAGGUUAGUGAUACACUUGUCCCUUUAAACUUACACUACACUGUUUAAAGGACUGUUAUUGGUUUGUAUGGGCACUUUAUUUUAUAUUCUACUGUAAAUGUAAUGUUACAAUUCUUGCACUUUGUUGAUUGUUGAUUGUUUAAUGUUAUUGUCUAAUGUUGCACCACCCGCCAUGACACAUUCCUUGUAUGUGAAAAUAUAGUUUACAAUAGACAGACACACAAUAUAUACAAUUAAAUUAGAAACCAGCUGUGGAACGUCCUGAAGCAGCUCCGGCCCGUCCCCCAGAAACCAGAAGAGUCCACCAGGAGCAGCAGGAAGAGGAGGAGCCCGACUGCCCGGCAGGACGGAUAAAGUGCCAACCAGCCUUCCCUCGCGCCUGGCGGGGGAAGGCUGGUUGGCACUUUAUCAGUAACAUGGUUAUACUUACGAACAUUAAGAAAAGUCUCCAAGUUUUUUAUUUAGGUAUCGAUUGCUGUGAUACAAGAAGAAACUUCCAGGAUCUCCUUGACGACGACGAAGAAGAUGACGAGGGAGGACCACAUGAGAAGGAUGAAGGACUACAGGACCAGAAGAAGAGCGGCGGUUGCCUUUCUUUCAGUGGGCGGAGGCAGGACUCCUCUGUCUCUCUCCCAGCUGGAGGUGGAUGUCAACCAACCCGUCACCUUCAGCAGACCACGACACAAGUCAAUCAGGACCCCCCCCGCCCGUCCACCCAAACCCCCGACACCGCCCGCCCCGCCCACACAGGAAGCAGCUGUGAAGAAGACGGGCGCUUCAGCCUGAACAAGACAUCAUCAUUCUUUCAUUUGUCACAUGGAAUCCUGUAUGUUCAUGUAAACUGUGUACAGUAUGUAGAUUGUUAUCUCCUGAUUUUAAUGAAUACAUUUACCACAACAUCAAAA